This 814-nucleotide ribosomal RNA is filed under the name uncultured bacterium. RNAcentral's name for it is "bacterial SSU rRNA". It matches the Rfam family "Bacterial small subunit ribosomal RNA", at positions 10 to 812 of the family's 1533-position model. The record is from RNAcentral.
AGUUUGAUGCUGGCUCAGGACGAACGCUGGCGCCCCGCCUCACGCUUGUCAGUCAAACCAAGCACCUUUUGAUAUUCUUCGGAUGAUCAUUUGGUGACUGAUUGGCUGACAGGUGUAUUAACGCGUGGGUUACACCUUCCCUGUACUUGGGGAUAACAGCCUUAAAUCGGCUGCUAAUACCGCGUAACCCCACAUGAGGACAUCCUCAAGUGUGAAAAACUCCGGCGGCACACGAUGGGCCCUCGUCUGAUUAGCUGGUUGGCGGGGCAACCGCCCACCCAAGUAACGAUGAUUGCCCGGUCUGAGAGGAUGAACGGCCACAUUGGAACUGAGACACGGACCACACCUCCUACGCGGAGGCGUCUCUGGGGGAUAUUGCAGAAUGGUGAGGAAACCCUUCGUAUGCACCAACGCCGGCAGUGAGUGAACAAGUAUUUGGGUAUGUAAAUCUCUAUCAGUAGGGAAGAUAAUGACGGUACCUGAAUAAGAAGCUCCGGCUAAAUACGUGCCAGCAGCCGCGGUAAUACGUAUGGAGCAAGCGUUAUCCGGAUUUACUGGGUGUAAAGGGUGCGUAGGCGGCACAGCAAGUCAGAUGUGAAAGCCCGGGGCUCAACCCCGUGGCCUGCAUUUGAAACUGCCGAUCUUGAGUCCGGGAGAGGCAGGCGGAAUUCCUAGUGUAGCGGUGAAAUGCGUAGAUAUUAGGAGGAACACCAGUGGCGAAGGCGGUCUGCUGGACAGCAACUGACGCUGAGGCACGAAAGCGUGGGUAGCAAACAGGAUUAGAUACCCUGGUAGUCCACGCUGUAAACGAUGA